UACGUAGGUGGCGAGCGUUGUCCGGAUUUACUGGGCGUAAAGAGCGCGCAGGCGGUCGUACAAGUCGCGUGUGAAAGCCCCCGGCUCAACUGGGGAGGGUCACGCGAUACUGUUCGACUCGAAGGCAGGAGAGGGUAGUGGAAUUCCCGGUGUAGUGGUGGAAUGCGUAGAUAUCGGGAGGAGCACCAGUGGCGAAGGCGACUACCUGGCCUGUUCUUGACGCUGAGGCGCGAAAGCUAGGGGAGCGAAUGGG
Molecule: ribosomal RNA, 253 nt
Filed under: uncultured bacterium
Lineage: Bacteria
Description: partial 16S ribosomal RNA
Rfam family: Bacterial small subunit ribosomal RNA
Source: RNAcentral